Oxyura jamaicensis (ruddy duck) is the source of this 1919-nucleotide long non-coding RNA. RefSeq lists it as uncharacterized. The record is from RefSeq and is a predicted model, not a curated record. Lineage: Eukaryota; Metazoa; Chordata; Aves; Anseriformes; Anatidae. The transcript has 3 exons.
CAGCCCCUACGCGAGGACAUGACGUCACCUUCCUGUUCUACGUCAGAACGAAGGAAGGAAGCAGCGAGCCUGACCCGCCCCAAAAACGAACGAAUUUGGGAUUUUUCCCGGCCGGGGGUGGGCGAGGAGCAGCGGGCGUUACCACGGCGAGUUGGGCUGCGAUCGCUGCUCUCACCGCAGGGGAACGGGGAGCUGCCUACGUCUGCGGUGGAAGUGAUUUUUCCUCAAGACACAUGACAAAUGUUUCCUGAAAUGAAAUUCAAAAGCCAGGUACAAUGAGAAGAAAGCUCGAAGUUCUCUCAAACCAAAUCACCUUCCCAGGACUGCUGUAUGUACUCAAUGUUAUUUUCUUGGCUAAACUCUUCUUGCUCCAUGGACAGUAGUCUUCCUUUCUGAUUUCUUGUUUAACAGUUGCUAAAUACAAUGGUUAGAUGUUCAGCUGCCCCUCCGGAACUGUAUCAAAAGGUCAAUCAUAUAAUUUUGCCAAUUAGAAAACGGACAGUUCAUAAAGCAGAAUCCAAAGUCCUUUCUCUGUGUUACACGCUGUUGAAACCAUGAGAUAAAAUGGAUUGUAGUAACCAGCAGUUUUUAAUUCCUGCUGUGUUCAGAACAACAGAGGUAAAAGACAGAUGUUAAAUGUUACAGGGCUGCAGCGAGGACUGGGGCUUCCUUCCCUCCCUUCUAUACCUACAUCUAGUUUUGAGGAUCCCCAGGUUUUUCUUAUGUUUGUAAUCUCUUGGUAAAGCAAACAGUGGGCUGCAACAUGGAUUCUCACUUUCGUAGCACGAGUCACUGUAACACAUAACAGUGAUGAUACUGUGGUUUUUGUUACGUCUUUAAUAACUGAACAAAUAUGUGAAUAUAUUGUGAGGGUGCAAAAAUGUAACACCAAGUUCAAGUUUAUGAUUCCUUUUUCUCUGCACUAAUUUCAUUAAAAUGUUGUGUUUUCGACUAUUUCACUUUCAGAAACAUUGAGCAGUCCUGCGUUUUUUAUUUUAGGAUUGCAAUGUAAAACCAACAUGCCCUAAGCUUUGCUGUCCCAUGUGGGUGACUCUCACAGCACGCUGGCAUCCUGAGACCUUCGCUUUCUGACCUGCAGAUGAACUUGUAACGUCGCUGCUUCUCUUGCUGCAGUAAGGCAAAGGAGGAUGGAGGGCAUGGCCAGCUCCAAGGCUGCACUGGGUCUCCCCAAGUCAGGAAAGGAGCUUCAGUCCUAGAGAUUUGGGAUGCUUCUGCCGCGGGAGCGCUGCACCUCCAUCUCAUGCUUCUCAGCAACUGGAAGCACCUGGGCACGCAGCUCUUACCUGGGCACAGUGGGAAGAAGACACCCCAAAAGGGUUGUCUUCGGAGCAGGUGCCCCUGGAGAAGCAGAGGCCAAGUGGUCUUCAAGACCGAGGAGCGUGUGGCAUUUCACGUGGGGCAUCUGCACCGAAGUGAAGGAAGACGGGAUAUUUAAGGGACUAGCUCAGCUCUACAGCAGCAGCAGGUGCCAACACGAGAAGCGUGUUUGGGUGCCAGCUCUGCAGCGUACAUUGCCGGGACAGGAGCGUCAGACAGCUGGCGUGCGAGGCUGGGUUUCAUCUGCUCCUGCUGCUGGGAGGGAGAGGUGGCACUCUGCUGCAGGCAGUGGCAGCCAAAGGGGAGGGGGGUGACAAAAGCUGGUGGCACAGCAUGCAUCCAGCUUCUCUUCUUGCACAGGCGAGAUGCAAAAUGACGUUCCUGUGAAAGCAGAAAUUCCAGCUGCCAAACCACACGCUCCUCUACACAGUAAGGAAAAUCAAAACAUGCAUACACUUGUGGAGCAAAAUCUCUGUGUUUUCAUCCCAAUAAAUCUUCACACAGCCCAUAAAGAAGGAUGUGCCUCCCUCUCUGAGCAUACUUUAUUUCCUGCAAUGAUGAAAUAAAGAACCACAGGAGCU